RNAcentral lists this ribosomal RNA (500 nucleotides) under uncultured bacterium. RNAcentral describes it as "partial 16S ribosomal RNA". It matches the Rfam family "Bacterial small subunit ribosomal RNA", at positions 29 to 523 of the family's 1533-position model. The record is from RNAcentral.
AUUGAACGCUGGCGGCAUGCCUUACACAUGCAAGUCGAACGGCAGCACGGGAGCAAUCCUGGUGGCGAGUGGCGAACGGGUGAGUAAUGUAUCGGAACGUGCCCAGUCGUGGGGGAUAACGUAGCGAAAGCUACGCUAAUACCGCAUACGAUCUGUGGAUGAAAGCGGGGGACCGUAAGGCCUCGCGCGAUUGGAGCGGCCGAUAUCAGAUUAGGUAGUUGGGGGGGUAAAGGCCUACCAAGCCGACGAUCUGUAGCUGGUCUGAGAGGACGAACAGCCACACUGGGACUGGGACACGGCCCAGACGCCUACGGGAGGCAGCAGUGGGGAAUUUUGGACAAGGGGAGCAAGCCUGAUCCAGCAAUGCCGCGUGCAGGAUGAAGGCCUUCGGGUUGUAAACUGCUUUUGUACGGAGCGAAAAGGCUCUCUCUAAUACAGGGGGCUCAUGACGGUACCGUAAGAAUAAGCACCGGCUAACUACGUGCCAGCCGCCGCAGUAA